This is a non-coding RNA of Haemonchus contortus (barber pole worm), 75 nucleotides long. NCBI's taxonomy places the organism in Eukaryota, Metazoa, Nematoda, Chromadorea, Rhabditida, Trichostrongylidae. The record is from Rfam.
GGCACAAAUUUGAAGUAGAGAAGGUCAGUAAGAUCAGCUGGCCAUACUAAUCUGCUCUAUUUCAAGUUUGUGCCC